UACCCCCUCAAGCCUCGCUUGGUGUUGGACCCCGCCCCCGCCGUUCGCGCGAGGGCGCCGUCCGAAAGUCAUCGGCGCCCGUCGCCGGCCCCAGCGUUGUGGAAUCAUCCGCUGGUGUCGGCCGGCGAGGCCGCCUCGUCCUAUUCAGUAAC
This 152-nucleotide unclassified non-coding RNA is filed under the name uncultured fungus. RNAcentral's name for it is "sequence contains ITS2". The record is from RNAcentral. Lineage: Eukaryota; Fungi.